RNAcentral lists this long non-coding RNA (2132 nucleotides) under Lonchura striata (white-rumped munia). Its description in RNAcentral is "domestica (Bengalese finch) lncRNA (ENSLSDG00000006143.1)". Lineage: Eukaryota; Metazoa; Chordata; Aves; Passeriformes; Estrildidae. The record is from RNAcentral.
GGGGGGUGGGGGGUUUCCUAUUUUUGGGAGGAAUUCUCUUUUUUGGAGAGGAAUUCCCAUUUUUUUGCGGGGAAAUUCCCAUUUUUUGGGGUGAUUCCCAUUUCUUGGUGUGAUUCCCAUUUUUUGGGGGGAAAUUCCCGUUUUUGGGGUGGGGAAUUCCCAUUUUUGGGGUCUCCACAGUUUUUGGGGUUCCAGAUUUUCCCUGGCUUUGAGGAUUCUCUCUGGUUUUUAUGGGGUUUCCGUGUUUUGGGAGAAUUUUCCCUGGUUUUUAUGGGGUUUCUCUGUUUUGGGGGGAUUUUCCCUGUUUUUGAUGGGGUUUCUCUGGUUUUUAUGGGGUUUCCCUGUUUUUUAUGGGGUUUCCCUGUUUUUUAUGGGGUUUCUCUGUUUUGGGGGGAUUUUCCCUAUUUUUUAUGGGGUUUCCCUGUUUUUCAUGGGAUUUCUCUGGUUUUUUAUGGGGUUUCUCUGUUUUUUACAGGAUUUCUCUCUUUUGGGGGGAAUUUUCUCUGUUUUUGGGGGAUUUCCCCUGCUUUUUAUGGGGUUUCCCUGUUUUGGGGGAUUUUCCCUGGUUUUUAUGGGGUUUCUCUGUUUUUAUGGGGUUUCUCUGGUUUUUAUGGGGUUUCUCUCUUUUGGGGGGAAUUUUCUCUGUUUUGGGGGGAUUUUCCCUGUUUUUUAUGGGGUUUCCCUGUUUUGGGAGGAUUUUCCCUGUUUUUUAUGGGGUUUCCCUGUUUUGGGAGAAUUUUCCCUGGUUUUUAUGGGGUUUCCCUGUUUUGGGAGAAUUUUCCCUGUUUUUUAUGGGGUUUCUCUGUUUUUUAUGGGUUUUCCCUGGUUUUUAUGGGGUUUCCCUGGUUUUCAUGGGGUUUCUCUCUUUUGGGGGGAAUUUUCUCUGUUUUUUGGGGAAUUUUCCCUGCUUUUUGAUGGGGUUUGGGGACAUCGAGAUUGACACAAGGGUGGGGACAUGGGGACAGGGGGACACCGGGAUUUGGGGACAUCGGGAUUGGCAGCGGGAUGGGGACAGGGACACAGGACAGGGACACGGGGAUAUCAGGAUGGGGACAGGGACCUCAGGGCCUGGUGGCGCCGCUGGCACAGGGACAUGGGGACAUCGGGAUUGGGGACAUCGGGAUUGACUCGGGGACAGGGACACGGGGACAUUGGGAUGGGCACCGGGAUGGGGACAGGGACAUGGAUAAGGGGAUGGGGACAAGGACAGGGACACAGGGACACGAGGAUGGGGACGGGGAAGGGGACAGGGGCCUGGUGGCGCUGCUGGCACAGGGACAAGGACACGGGGACACCGGGGUUGGGGACAUCGGGAUUGACCCGGGGACAUUGGGAUCGGCACCAGGAUGGGGACAGGGACACGGAUGGGGACAAGGACACGGGGACAGGGACAGGAAUGGGGACAGGGAAAAGGGGAUGGGGACAAGGACAGGGAUAUGGGGACAGGGACCUCGGGGCCUGGCAGUGCCACUGGCACAGGGACAAGGACACGGGGACACCGGGAUUUGGGACACCGGGACUGGGACACCGGGAUUGACUCGGGGACAUCGGGACGGGGACACGGGCGCAGGGAUGCAGACAGGGACAGGGAUUUGGGGACAUCGGGAUUUGGGGACAUCGGGGUUUGGGGACAUCGGGGUUUGGGGACAUCAGGAAUCUGGGGCCUGGUGGCAUCACUGGCGCGGGGCCAAGGCCGCAGGGACACGCGUGACACGCUCGGGGACACGCGCAGAGGACACGCGUGACACGCUCAGGUACGCGUGACACGCUCGGGGACACGCAGGGGACACGCGUGUGCAGCCCCGGGUGACGCAGCAGCCGCCUCGCGGCCGGGCCGGGGGGGCCUGGCAGCCCCGGGUGUCCCCUGGGUGUCCCUUGGGUGUCCCCUGGGUGUCCCUUGGGUGUCCCUGGCACACCUGGCACACCUGGCACACCUGGCACACCUGGCACACCCCCCGUGUCCCUUGCACGCCCCCCCGGCUCCUUCCAGCACCUUCCCCGCCCCUGCCCGGCCCUUGCACGCCCCUGCGGCACCGCAGCGGCGCCUUGCACACUCACCCACCCUGAGCCUUGCACACCCAUCCCUGAGCCUUGCACACCCACCCUGAGCCUUGCACACCCACCCUGAGCCU